Cygnus atratus (black swan) is the source of this 667-nucleotide long non-coding RNA. RefSeq lists it as uncharacterized. The transcript has 3 exons. NCBI's taxonomy places the organism in Eukaryota, Metazoa, Chordata, Aves, Anseriformes, Anatidae. The record is from RefSeq and is a predicted model, not a curated record.
ACUGCACGUUCCUUGGUGCUGCUGAGCUGCAGGGCUUUGCAUCCAGCCCUUUGGAAAGCUCUGUCACACAGGUUUGUGUCCAAAUCUUCUCUCCUGACCCUGGCUGCAGACAGCGAUGAGCACAGCUGCUUGGAAACCUCUCUGCUGGGCCUCUUGCAAUGGUGCAGAGAAAAGCUGCCCACUGCCACCCCUCCGCAGGUGCUGCUUUUAUUCCAGCAGGUUAAUUAAUAGUUGACUCAUCACCUCGAAGGCUAAUGGAUAUUUAUCCAGAUGAUGAAGGAAAUGAACGCCUUCCAUAAAUAACUGCAGCGACGCUCGCUAACAAGCCAUCCUUAUUUAUGCUGCUUCUCCUUCAGGAAACAAACUCUGCCGGAGGAGCUGAUCCCAGCCUCUUCCCGGGCUGUUUGUGCUCUGGCCUGGCUUGGUGGGGGUUUUAUUUGCUAACCCCGGUGCCCUUUGCUGGGGGAGGGAGCACAGCAGCAUGGCGUGAUUGCCCCAACUGGGCUGGCAAAGGUGCCUUGGGUGUUUCCGUGGGCUGGAGCUCUCUGGCUCUCCAGCAGCGUGGUUUUUUUGUUUUGGCCAUUGAAAAAAAUCCCGGACCGCUUUCAGAAUAUUGGUGAGCCCUUUCCAAGUUCCCAUCUGCUUCAAAUAAAGGGUGUUUAUUGUC